This 261-nucleotide ribosomal RNA is filed under the name uncultured bacterium. Its description in RNAcentral is "partial 16S ribosomal RNA". It matches the Rfam family "Bacterial small subunit ribosomal RNA", at positions 515 to 775 of the family's 1533-position model. The record is from RNAcentral.
CCGCGGUAAUACGGAGGAUCCGGGCGUUAUCCGGAAUUACUGGGUUUAAAGGGUGCGUAGGCGGGGCUUUAAGCCGGCGGUGAAAUGCAGCGGCUCAACCGCUGGAAUGCCGUUGGGACUGGGGCUCUUGGAUACGGUCGGGGCGGGUGGAACUCGUGGUGUAGCGGUGAAAUGCAUAGAUAUCACGAGGAACGCCGGUAGCGAAGGCAGCUCGCCGGGCCGGUAUUGACGCUGAGGCACGAAAGCGUGGGGAUCGAACAG